CUAGCCCGAGCAACCGACUAACAGAGCUACUAUAUACAUAACCAAUUUAAAACAUUCAGUCAUAAAAUUAAAGUAUAGGAGAUAGAAAUCUUUAUCUGGAGCUAUAGAAAAAGUACCGUAAGGGAACGAUGAAAGAACAAUUUAAAGUGAUAAACAGCAAAGAUUACCCCUUUUACCUUUUGCAUAAUGAAUUAGCUAGACAUGACUUAGCAAAGAGAACUUAAGUUAAUUACCCCGAAACCAGACGAGCUACCUACGAACAAUCCACUUGGGAUAAACUCAUCUAUGUCGCAAAAUAGUGAGAAGAUUUUUAGGUAGAGGUGAAAAGCCUAACGAGCCUGGUGAUAGCUGGUUGCCCAGAAUAGAAUCUUAGUUCAAUUUUAAAUUUACCUAACAACCCCAAAAAUUCCAAUGUAAAUUUAAAAUAUAUUCUAAAAAGGUACAGCUUUUUAGACAAGGAUACAGCCUUACUUAGAGAGUAAAACAAUUCAUAAGA
This 496-nucleotide ribosomal RNA is filed under the name Bassariscus astutus (ringtail). RNAcentral's name for it is "partial 16S ribosomal RNA". The stretch from base 234 to 352 matches the Rfam family "Bacterial large subunit ribosomal RNA", at positions 714 to 852 of the family's 2925-position model. Lineage: Eukaryota; Metazoa; Chordata; Mammalia; Carnivora; Procyonidae. The record is from RNAcentral.